This is a non-coding RNA of Vicia faba (fava bean), 351 nucleotides long. The record is from the annotation of a GenBank genome assembly. Lineage: Eukaryota; Viridiplantae; Streptophyta; Magnoliopsida; Fabales; Fabaceae.
AUGUCUCAUAUUUGUGUAGAAGUUGUUUUUGCAGGAGAAAAGAACACAAGAAAAGUAACAUCAAUUAAUCAGAUCCGGCAACAAGCGGAAACUGUGGAUGCAAAGAAUCAAUCGAGAUUGAACAGAAAAAUAAGAAGACCGAAAUUGCAAAAUCGUAGAACUCCAACCCAACUCCUUCUGCUGCUCACCUGCUCACACUUUCGUUGCGGCACCAUUGUCACCGCAUUUGACCCUUCGCGAAAUCUGUCGUCGACCCAAAACCUUCCUGCUUCCUUAUUCUCACCGGAAUCGAGCACCACCUGUGUCAACAGCCGCAAGUCACGGAUCCGCAACCACGAUCUGCUCCGAUAA